ACGCGAUAAUAGCAAAGCCGGCGCAAGCCGGCGGCGCAAAGCUAUGGGUUCGCCUCAGGCGAAAGCCCGGCUGCCGAA
This 78-nucleotide non-coding RNA is filed under the name Elusimicrobiota bacterium. RNAcentral describes it as "Elusimicrobia bacterium c-di-GMP sequence". It matches the Rfam family "c-di-GMP-I riboswitch aptamer". From Rfam's summary of the family: GEMM was predicted in a large-scale screen for bacterial structured RNA regulatory elements. Lineage: Bacteria; Pseudomonadati; Elusimicrobiota. The record is from RNAcentral.